RNAcentral lists this ribosomal RNA (414 nucleotides) under uncultured microorganism. RNAcentral describes it as "bacterial SSU rRNA". It matches the Rfam family "Archaeal small subunit ribosomal RNA", at positions 459 to 872 of the family's 1478-position model. The record is from RNAcentral.
CAGCAGCCGCGGUAAUACCGGCGGCCCGAGUGGCGGUCACUAUUAUUGGGCUUAAAACGUCCGUAGCCGGGUUGGGAAGUCCUCCGGGAAAUCUGGCCGCUUAACGGUCAGAAUGCCGGAGGAUACUCCCAGCCUAGGGAGCGGGAGAGGCCGAGGGGAUUCCCGGAGUAGGGGGGAAAUCCUAUAAUCCCGGGAGGACCACCUGUGGCGAAGGCGCUCGGCGGGAACGCGUCCGACGGUGAGGGACGAAGGCCAGGGGAGCAAACCGGAUUAGAUACCCGGGUAGUCCUGGCUGUAAACGAUGCGGACUUUGUGUCGGACAAGCUAUGAGCUUGUCCGGUGCCGGAGGGAAACCGUUAAGUCCGCCGCCUGGGGAGUACGGCCGCAAGGCUGAAACUUAAAGGAAUUGGCGGG